Lactuca sativa (garden lettuce) is the source of this 784-nucleotide long non-coding RNA. RefSeq lists it as uncharacterized. NCBI's taxonomy places the organism in Eukaryota, Viridiplantae, Streptophyta, Magnoliopsida, Asterales, Asteraceae. The record is from RefSeq and is a predicted model, not a curated record.
GUAACUUGCAAUUUACGAAAAGUUGGAAAGCAUAUAAACUCAUUUAAUUGAUAAACUCCUCCACUUUCUCAAGUCUUUGGCGGUGGUUGAAUACUUGAAUCAGAGAGAAAGGGAGCAACCGACAUUGAAUUGUGAAAAACAAAAGAGAUAAUUCAAGAAAAUUUCUGCAACAUCUGGAGGGGUAACCGGUUAGUGAGUGUUAAUUAGGAUUAAGACACGGAUUUUGUAGAGAAAUCAUGUUGGAUUCGGUUCGUAGACAGAAAAAAGAGAAGAAAACAGUUUACAGUUCUAAAUCCAUGGAUUGAAAAAAAUACUUGAAAUCCGUUGCAUGGGUGUUUAAGUAGUCAGUAAUCAGUAAUCACAGUAUUUGACAGAGAUAAAGAGAGAAUGAAGAUGAAAAUAUUUCGUUUCGCAUCCCACAUCGCUUGGAGGAGAAAGUUUUUCCGAUUAUUUAUACAUCAAAUGGACUUCGUUUAUCGCCGAGCUUGGUAACGCGAGCUUGUGACUCAAGUGAGGGCUCUAAAGUGGGAUGGACUGAGAUCGAGCCUUGUUUGGUUGGGUCAAAGCUGUUGCAAAAUCUGGUUUGCCCGUUCCAAGUUCGGAGUUGGAUCAAGUGGCUUGAGCGAAGGCUUGGGCUUCUUGGUUCCUAGAGCAGAGGGCAAUGCGUUAGGCUGGCUUCACAGAGCUGCGAUAACCUCUCGCUUCGAACAGUGGAAGGAUAACAAAUCGGUGCUCUCUUGGCUCAAAUAAUCAGCUUGGCUCCUUCUAAUGGACUCCCACUUUU